Nerophis ophidion (straightnose pipefish) is the source of this 764-nucleotide long non-coding RNA. RefSeq lists it as uncharacterized. NCBI's taxonomy places the organism in Eukaryota, Metazoa, Chordata, Actinopteri, Syngnathiformes, Syngnathidae. The record is from RefSeq and is a predicted model, not a curated record. The transcript has 3 exons.
CAGCAAGCAAGACGAAGAGCGAAGAUUUGAAGCGGAAAUCGAACUAUUUCACUGCAAAGAAAACCAUCGACGUCCAUAAAGAUUCAGAAAUUGGAGACAGUGGAGGAACUACUCGACCUUGACGAGUUGAUAAAAACUCAACCAAGGAAGAAAGAUUUGCUGAUAAGUAAUUAUAACAUUAUAAUUGUGUAGCUGUUUUUACAUCGGAAAUAUUAUUGUAUUUAGAUAGAAAUUUCAGGUUAUGAAAUUGUGUAGAUAAAACAGGUGUAGAUGAAACAGGUCCUAUACUUGAAUGUAUGUAUGUGUUUGCCAGCCCCUUCCCCCAGUGUAUGCUAAACACAUUCUCUUGUAUAUUUGCAGACAGCCAGGCUCUCAAAGAUUGGUGGAUAUGACUUAAAGAGCUGUUUAAGCACCAUCAUGGACAGCUACUUUCCUCUUUCUCUACAUAUAUAUUAAAAAUAGGCGAUGUAAGACCCAAAUUCUAAUCUAUGAGUGCUAGAUCGGGAAUUAUAGUAAUGCAAAAUUCCGUACUUUUUGGCCUGCGUGUUCAAUUUCAGGCUCAUGACAUAUGAAUUCAUGUCCAAUCUGAACAUGAAGGGGAGAGGGGAAAAAAAUAGCUUGGCUGAGACGAAGCUGCUCGAUGUAGUCACAGCUAGUGUCUUGGAUACCCAGAAGGGGACCGAAACGAUGGUCCAUGAUGCCAUAAAAAAUAAACUGAAAUAUGCCUCUGGACGGAAGGGAGGAAUAGGAUGCGCAUCACAGGC